This 47-nucleotide non-coding RNA is filed under the name Helianthus annuus (common sunflower). RNAcentral's name for it is "sRNA HanXRQr2_Chr04g0143091". It matches the Rfam family "Histone 3' UTR stem-loop". Rfam says of the family: The mRNAs of metazoan histone genes lack a poly-A tail. 3' end processing occurs at a site between a highly conserved stem-loop (modelled by this family) and a purine rich region around 20 nts downstream (the histone downstream element, or HDE). The record is from RNAcentral. Lineage: Eukaryota; Viridiplantae; Streptophyta; Magnoliopsida; Asterales; Asteraceae.
AAACAGGUUCUUCUAAGAACCAAGAUAGCUACUCAUGAAAUAUAUCU